This 806-nucleotide long non-coding RNA is filed under the name Canis lupus familiaris (dog). RNAcentral's name for it is "lncRNA (ENSCAFG00040022749.1)". Lineage: Eukaryota; Metazoa; Chordata; Mammalia; Carnivora; Canidae. The record is from RNAcentral.
AAGUAGACAGACUGAAGUGGAGAGGAAGGCGAACUCAACUAGGAGUGCUGGUGUCAAAGGGACAGGCCGACCACAGCAAGCUGACACCCGGUGGCUGUGGUUCCUUCCACCACAGCCCACUAUCAGAGGCUGAAGUGAGACGAUCGGACUUGGCCCAACCUUGUGGUAGCCAAGAUUCACCCCGGCCUUGCUGGCCACACCCCUUGCUCAGUCUACAAGGCAAGAGGUGUUCUGAACCACAGACACGGAUUACACACCAGAUUCCAACGCAAGGCUACAGUGACUAUCCUGGGAGCAGCUGGCAUACGAGGCUUUGAGCUUCAACUCUGGCCAUGUCUCCUGGCAAUUACCUCUACCUGGGACCCAAAGCAGUUUGCAUGACCACUAAAGGGUUAGCUGAUAGCUGUGAUUGGCCAUUGAGAAGAGGGAGGAGUAAUGACUUCAAUGACCCCAGAAGAUUCCAGAGCAGAGAACAGCAGCAGUCUGGCUUUGUUCUUUGGUACCAAGUGCCCCCGUCAACCACUGCAGUAAGUACUCGUCUGCCUUUGGGCCCUAUUAGCCCACACAGUAAACCCCGCUGGAAAGUAGGGCUGAGCUGUGAGUGCUAUUGGUACUGUCUCCAUUCUAUGCUGGUUCUUUUAGACUUUGUGUUUCUAUGGGGUCUACUCGUUGGUUUCCACUUUGAUUUCUCCAAUAUUGAAGAUAUAUUAUAUUGGCUUCUCUCCAGCUCUCAGAAUGCUCUCUUCUUUAGUUCUAUUCCUAUGAUCACUUGCUGUCCACUUGGCCAGCUACCCAUAUUGUCAUGA